GUGGCGGCUCAGUGGUAGAGCACUCACCUAGCACAGAUGAGGCCCUGGGUUAGAUUCUCAGCACCACA
This 68-nucleotide transfer RNA is filed under the name Marmota monax (woodchuck). Its description in RNAcentral is "tRNA.Undet". Lineage: Eukaryota; Metazoa; Chordata; Mammalia; Rodentia; Sciuridae. The record is from RNAcentral.